This 477-nucleotide ribosomal RNA is filed under the name uncultured bacterium. RNAcentral describes it as "SSU rRNA". It matches the Rfam family "Bacterial small subunit ribosomal RNA", at positions 26 to 518 of the family's 1533-position model. The record is from RNAcentral.
AGCCUGAACGCUGGCGGCGUGGCUAAGACAUGCAAGUCGUACGGAGGUAGCAAUACCUCAGUGGCGAACGGGUGAGUAAUGAAUCGCUAACGUGCCCUGGACUUCGGGAUAGCUAUCCGAAAAGGGUAGGUAAUACCGGGUGAUAUACCCUUUCCGCAUGGAAGGGGUCUCAAAGGUCCGCCGGUCUUCGGUGGAUGGUCUGGGAGCGGGCGAUUUCGUAUCAGCUAGUUGGUGGGGUAACGGCCCACCAAGGCGACGACGCGUAGCCGGACUGAGAGGUUGGCCGGCCACAUUGGGACUGAGACACUGCCCAGACUCCUACGGGGGGCUGCAGUAACGAAUCUUCCGCAAUGCACGAAAGUGUGACGGAGCGACGCCGCGUGGAGGACGAAGUUCUUCGGAAUGUAAACUCCUGUCAGGGGAAGAAGUUCUGAUCUACCCAGAGGAAGAGGCGGCUAACUCUGCGCCAGCAGCCGC